UAGGGAAUCUUCCGCAAUGGGCGAAAGCUUGACGGAGCAACGCCGCGUGAGUGAUGAAGGUCUUCGGAUCGUAAAACUCUGUUAUUAGGGAAGAACAAAUGUGUAAGUAACUAUGCACGUCUUGACGGUACCUAAUCAGAAAGCCACGGCUAACUACGUGCCAGCAGCCGCGGUAAUACGUAGGUGGCAAGCGUUAUCCGGAAUUAUUGGGCGUAAAGCGCGCGUAGGCGGUUUUUUAAGUCUGAUGUGAAAGCCCACGGCUCAACCGUGGAGGGUCAUUUGAAACUGGAAAGCUUGAGUGCAGAAGAGGAAAGUGGAAUUCCAUGUGUAGCGGUGAAAUGCGCAGAGAUAUGGAGGAACACCAGUGGCGAAGGCGACUUUCUGGUCUGUAACUGACGCUGAUGUGCGAAAGCGUGGGGAUCAAACAGG
RNAcentral lists this ribosomal RNA (429 nucleotides) under Actinomycetes bacterium. RNAcentral's name for it is "Actinobacteria bacterium partial 16S ribosomal RNA". It matches the Rfam family "Bacterial small subunit ribosomal RNA", at positions 355 to 776 of the family's 1533-position model. The record is from RNAcentral. Lineage: Bacteria; Bacillati; Actinomycetota; Actinomycetes.